RNAcentral lists this ribosomal RNA (1040 nucleotides) under Pleosporales sp. C3060-1B-EM1. RNAcentral describes it as "eukaryotic LSU rRNA". The stretch from base 445 to 1040 matches the Rfam family "Eukaryotic large subunit ribosomal RNA", at positions 1 to 600 of the family's 3401-position model. Lineage: Eukaryota; Fungi; Ascomycota; Dothideomycetes; Pleosporales. The record is from RNAcentral.
UGGGGCGUCAGCCCCGACUGAGAUUAUACCUAACCAUGAUUUCGAGCACCUUUCCGUUUCCUCGGCGGGCUCGCUCGCCGGUGGACAACCGAAACUCUUUGCAAUGGCAGUAAAUUCUGAGAAAACAAAUAGUUAAAACUUUCAACAACGGAUCUCUUGGUUCUGGCAUCGAUGAAGAACGCAGCGAAAUGCGAUAAGUAGUGUGAAUUGCAGAAUUCAGUGAAUCAUCGAAUCUUUGAACGCACAUUGCGCCCCUCGGUAGUCCGUUGGGCAUGCCUGUUCGAGCGUCAUUUAAACCUUCAAGCUCAGCUUGGUGUUGGGUGCUUGUCCUCCCCCGUGGUGGACUCACCUCAAAUGCAUUGGCGGCCGGUAUGUUGGCUUCGAGCGCAGUAGAACGCGCCUGGCGUCUUGACGUACUGGUCCUCCACGAGACUAUUCUCAUCUUGACCUCGGAUCAGGUAGGGAUACCCGCUGAACUUAAGCAUAUCAAUAAGCGGAGGAAAAGAAACCAACAGGGAUUGCCCUAGUAACGGCGAGUGAAGCGGCAACAGCUCAAAUUUGAAAUCUGGGUCUUUCAGGCUCCGAGUUGUAAUUUGUAGAGGGCGCUUUGGUGUUGGCUGCGGUCUAAGUUCCUUGGAACAGGACGUCACAGAGGGUGAGAAUCCCGUACGUGGUCGACAGUCUUCACCGUGUAAAGCCCCUUCGACGAGUCGAGUUGUUUGGGAAUGCAGCUCUAAAUGGGAGGUAAAUUUCUUCUAAAGCUAAAUAUUGGCCAGAGACCGAUAGCGCACAAGUAGAGUGAUCGAAAGAUGAAAAGCACUUUGGAAAGAGAGUCAAAAAGCACGUGAAAUUGUUGAAAGGGAAGCGCUUGCAAUCAGACUUGCCCGUAGUUGUUCAUCUAGGUGUCUACCUGGUGCACUCUUCUAUGGGCAGGCCAGCAUCAGUUCAGGCGGCUGGAUAAAGGCCUCUAUCACGUAUCUUCCUUCGGGAUGACCUUAUAGGGGAGGUGUAAUGCAGCCAGCCUGGAUUGAGGUCCGCGC